ACCUCUCCCUUCUCCCUACCUCCUCCCCACUCCACUAGAAUGUAAGCUCCCUGUUGGCAAGGACAGAGCUGGGACCAUGGUUGGUCAUGGCUCUCUCCUCUGUGCCUAGAACAGCACCUGCACAUUGUAAAAACCCAGUAACUGUCUGUGUUAAUUUUCUACUGGUGAUUUAAACCAGAAGAUGUAACUUUGUCACUGUGAAAACAAUUGAAUGUCCAGGACCUGGUGGCAUCAUUUACUUAGUACUACAUUCAUCUACUGGUGAGAGAGGUUGUGGCUUCUGGUCAAUGCCAUCUGGACUUCUCAUCUGUAAAUGGACUAAUCCACUGACAUCCUGCAGAAAAUCCAGAACCAGCUGUCUUCUCCUCAUCCUCAGGCACUUCCCAGUGACCUGAUGAUCUCAUUUCUGGUCUCAAACCAACAUUGCUGUAGUAUAUUCCUCAGGAGAACGAGGCCCUCAACACCUGCUUGGUUUCUUCCUGCCUUCACAGAGAGGAGUCUGAGAACCCAAAGGAAAAACAAAACAAGUGAUCCACAGGGAAAGAAAAAAAAAAAGGAUGGAGAGAAGUUAUUUUCUUUGAUAACUAUGUGUGA
Long non-coding RNA from Canis lupus familiaris (dog), 594 nucleotides. RefSeq lists it as uncharacterized. Lineage: Eukaryota; Metazoa; Chordata; Mammalia; Carnivora; Canidae. The transcript is spliced from 4 exons. The record is from RefSeq and is a predicted model, not a curated record.